RNAcentral lists this unclassified non-coding RNA (289 nucleotides) under Bombus terrestris (buff-tailed bumblebee). Its description in RNAcentral is "misc RNA ENSBTSG00005026053.1". Lineage: Eukaryota; Metazoa; Arthropoda; Insecta; Hymenoptera; Apidae. The record is from RNAcentral.
CAAGGCCUCUCGGAUCCCGAUCCCUACCACCAUCGACGAGCACGUUCACGGCACACACGACCGACCCACCGGUAGCGAUGGCCUCGACGAGCUUAGAAUCACCUGAAAGGACACGAGUGAAGAACACCGUAUCUGAAAACUACGAGAAGGCAGCAAGACAGCCUGGAUCUGGAUUAAAGGAAACCCUGAAAACGGAAAUAAAAUCCUUUCGUAGCCGAGGUCGGUGCUGUUCGAACAAUCACGCACAAUCACGGCCAGCAUUAUAAAACUGUCCCCGGGGGAAUUCUCG